GCCUUCGUGGUGUAAUGGUCAGCACACUGAGCCGGUAUUUCAGAGGUCCUAGGUUCGAUUCCCGGCGAAGGAA
RNAcentral lists this transfer RNA (73 nucleotides) under Stegodyphus mimosarum. It matches the Rfam family "tRNA". From Rfam's summary of the family: Transfer RNA (tRNA) molecules are approximately 80 nucleotides in length. Their secondary structure includes four short double-helical elements and three loops (D, anti-codon, and T loops). Lineage: Eukaryota; Metazoa; Arthropoda; Arachnida; Araneae; Eresidae. The record is from Rfam by way of RNAcentral.